This 1448-nucleotide long non-coding RNA is filed under the name Homo sapiens (human). Its description in RNAcentral is "HSALNT0287062". The record is from RNAcentral. Lineage: Eukaryota; Metazoa; Chordata; Mammalia; Primates; Hominidae.
CUCACUGACUCAGCAAGUAGCCUCGAGGAUAGUGAUUAACAACUUGACACAGAGACACCCUAUUCCACCAUUUGACAAAUUCGUUUAUUUAAAACAAUAAAAACAGCACUUAUAGGGGGGCUUCAUAAAAUACAAGUAGGUAGCUUGACACACUUUCACAGGUCACAUGAUUUAACACCUGGGGACAUCAGGACUAACUGCUCUCAGGCCUGAAUGGUGAGUGGAGUGGCAUGAUUUCAAGUUCAUAGAAUGGUAUGUCACUAUUUGUCUUACAUUCUCAGGAAGCAGGACCUCACUCCCCUCCUGUCUUCCCUUCUGGCCUUCCUGGUAGCCAUAACCAUGUACAAAUACGUGACCAUGAGAUGUUCCUGCCUGAUGUCCAGUGGCUCAGGGACCACAUCUGGACCUCAUCAAGACACCAUCAGCCCAUCAUCUGAACUUACAGCGCUCAAGGCAGCACUAAAUUCUGGAGAAGUGUGAGAACUCGAACUACUGAGGUCAAAGGAAGUGACACCAAGUGGCAGAGGAGAGUAUCCCAUCCAUACUCUGGGGGAAUGAGUGCUGACAUCAUGAAGCCCCCCUUAAAAAUCCAAGAGGACUGGGUUCCUGGAGCUUCUGGAUAGAUGAAGACGUGGAGUUUUCUAGAGGAUGGUGCACCCAGGGAGGGCAUGGAAGCUCUGUGCCCCUUUCCCCAUACCUCACCCUAUGUGUCUCUUCAUCUGUAUCCUUUGCAAUAUCCUUUAUAAUAAACAAGUAAAUGUAAGUAAGUGUUUCCCUGAGUUCUGAGAGCCACUCUAGCAAAUUAAUCAAACCCAAAGAGGGGAUCAUGGGAACAACUUGAAGCCGGUCAGUCAGAAGUUCCAGAGUCCCAGACUUGAGGCUGGUGUGUGUGUGUUGAGUAGGAGAAGUCUUGGGGACUGAGCCCUCAAAUUGUGGGAUCUGACAUUAUCUCUGGUUAGAUAAUGUUGCAACUAAAUUAGAGGACACCCAGCUGGUAUCUGCUGCUUGAUGUUUGCAGAAAAAAAACCCACACAUUUGAUCACGGAAGUCUUCUGUGUUGGUUGUUAAUAUGGUGUGAGACUAGAGGGGAAAUGUGGUUAUAGAGAAUUUUCCAUCUACACCAUCUCAUAGAGCUGUUGUUGGGGUCAGCUGCUUUGGUACAUGCCAAGUGCUAAGUAUCAGCUUUCACUGUUCACAAAAUUAACAGUUUUGUAAAUGCUUUGGGUAAAAAUAAGGUGAUGAACUUUCAAAAAUGUGAAUUUCUUCUGCUUUUUAAGCAUUUAAGAAACUGUAAUAUUUGACUUCUGAUUUUAAUCAAAUGCUUAAAAGUACAAUUUUUCAACAAUUAGUAAGAAUUUACAUAAAUUUAACUAAACUCUUAGGCUUCAAAUUUCUAUUGUUUUAUUUAUUUAGAGAAUGUUUAAAGGAGCAAUCAUUAAAGGAAGGGA